Quercus robur (English oak) is the source of this 404-nucleotide long non-coding RNA. RefSeq lists it as uncharacterized. The transcript has 3 exons. The record is from RefSeq and is a predicted model, not a curated record. NCBI's taxonomy places the organism in Eukaryota, Viridiplantae, Streptophyta, Magnoliopsida, Fagales, Fagaceae.
ACACAAUCCCAAAGCAAAGACUCAGAGUCACAGUGAGAGAGAGAGAAUCCGAAACACUAAAAAUGGCAGAUGAUGCGGCGGUGGAGGUCUCCGUACCCGAACGCACCACCAUUCCCUCCGACGACGACUCGGUCUGGGCUGAUGUGUCGCCUCUUCUUGAAUCCUCAUGCAAAGAUGCUUUGCUGAGGUUACCAUCAAGACUGACCCACAAAAUUUCAACUAUAUUGUUGAGUCUGGUGCUACCAAAAAUUUUGAACCCGUGUGAAUAGGAUGAGGCAGCAGAGACAAUAACCAUAAAAGAGAAGUUGGAGAGAUGGAAGAUGCAAUGAAAUCUUUUGAGAACAAAAACCUUGGAUUUGAAAAGAAAAAUGGACAUCAUUACUACAUUGGAUGGGAUGAAAUCU